Fusarium mangiferae is the source of this 73-nucleotide non-coding RNA. The record is from the annotation of a RefSeq genome assembly. NCBI's taxonomy places the organism in Eukaryota, Fungi, Ascomycota, Sordariomycetes, Hypocreales, Nectriaceae.
CCUAAUGAGGUGUAGUGGUCAAGCAUUCCGACAUGACAAGGAGGAGACCCUGGUUCGAAUCCUGGCAUUAGGA